RNAcentral lists this unclassified non-coding RNA (343 nucleotides) under soil metagenome. RNAcentral's name for it is "partial contains 5.8S ribosomal RNA, internal transcribed spacer 2, and large subunit ribosomal RNA". The stretch from base 1 to 120 matches the Rfam family "5.8S ribosomal RNA", at positions 35 to 154 of the family's 154-position model. The record is from RNAcentral.
GAUGAAGAACGUAGCGAAACGCGAUAAGUAAUGUGAAUUGCAGAAUCCAGUGAAUCAUCGAAUCUUUGAACGCACAUUGCGCCCGCCAGCAUUCUGGCGGGCAUGCCUGUUCGAGCGUCAUUUCAACCCUCGACCUCCCCUUGGGGAGGUCGGCGUUGGGGACCGGCAGCACACCGCCGGCCCUGAAAUGGAGUGGCGGCCCGUCCGCGGCGACCUCUGCGCAGUAAUACAGCUCGCACCGGGACCCCGACGCGGCCACGCCGUAAAACACCCAACUUCUGAACGUUGACCUCGAAUCAGGUAGGACUACCCGUUGAACUUAAGCAUAUCAAUAAGCGGAGGA